UACUUUUGCACCCGCAAUGGUUUAACUGCAACUUUUCAAGGGCAGUUAACGAAGAGGGAAUCAGGUGCAAAUCCUGAACAAGCCCGUUACUGUAAAUUCCAUGCAACAUUUUGACAGAUUAGGAGAGCUUUUUUUGGCUUUCGAAAUCAAAUCUUUUGCCACUGCAUUUUCAUCAAAUGUGGGAAGGCGGCUCAAAAUGGGAAUAAGUCAGGAGACCUGCCACUGCAUAUAAUUUUAG
Molecule: non-coding RNA, 238 nt
Filed under: Flavobacterium plurextorum
Lineage: Bacteria; Pseudomonadati; Bacteroidota; Flavobacteriia; Flavobacteriales; Flavobacteriaceae
Source: RNAcentral